UAACUGUAGUAAUUCUAGAGCUAAUACAUGCCACGAUGCCCUGACCCUUCGGGGGAUGGGUGCAUUUAUUAGAACAGAACCAACCGGGUGCAUUCCUUUGGUUUGCGCCUGUUAUAUUCUGUGAUGACUCUGGAUAACUUUGCUGAUCGCAGUCGGCCUUGUGUCGGCGACGAGUCUUUCAAAUGUCUGCCCUAUCAAUUGUCGAUGGUAGGUGACCUGCCUACCAUGGUGAUAACGGGUAACGGGGAAUCAGGGUUCGAUUCCGGAGAAAGAGCCUGAGAAACGGCUACUAUUUCCAAGGAAGGCAGCAGGCGCGCAACUUACCCAAUCCCAGCACGGGGAGGUAGUGACGAAAAAUACGGAUGCGGGACUCAACAGAGGCUCCGUAAUUCGAAUGAGUACAAUUUAAAUCCUUUAACGAGGAUCCACUGGAGGGCAAGUCUGGUGCCAGCAGCCGCGGUAACUCCAGCUCCAGAAGCGUAUAUUAAAUUUGUUGCAGUUAAAAAGCUCGUAGUUGGAUCUGGGACGCACGGUUACGAGUCAGUUCUUGCAUUUCCAACCUGACCUCGUCGGGCCGGUUAUGUGAGGCGAUUUUGUAGCUGUGUAACCUUUCUGCCGUGUCUGUUCACAGGUGCUGACGGUCUAUACGUUAGCAUGCUUCCGGAUGCUCUUAACCGAGUGUC
This 683-nucleotide ribosomal RNA is filed under the name Lecithodendriidae sp. JD-2019. RNAcentral describes it as "SSU rRNA". It matches the Rfam family "Eukaryotic small subunit ribosomal RNA", at positions 144 to 775 of the family's 1831-position model. The record is from RNAcentral. Lineage: Eukaryota; Metazoa; Platyhelminthes; Trematoda; Plagiorchiida; Lecithodendriidae.